Molecule: ribosomal RNA, 401 nt
Filed under: uncultured bacterium
Lineage: Bacteria
Description: bacterial SSU rRNA
Rfam family: Bacterial small subunit ribosomal RNA
Source: RNAcentral
CGAGGAAUAUUCGGCAAUGGGGGCAACCCUGACCGAGCAACGCCGCGUGGAGGAUGACGGUUUUUGGAUUGUAAACUCCUUUUCUGUGGGAAGAGACAGGACGGUACCACAGGAAUAAGUCACGGCUAACUACGUGCCAGUAGCCGCGGUAAUACGUAGGUGGCAAGCGUUAUCCGGAAUUACUGGGCGUAAAGCGCACGCAGGUGGUUGUCUAAGUUCGACGUGAAAGCGCCUGGCUUAACUGGGCGAGGUCGUUGGAGACUGGAUGACUAGAGGCGAGGAGAGGGGUGUAGAAUUCCCGGUGUAGUGGUGGAAUGCGUAGAGAUCGGGAGGAAUACCAGUGGCGAAAGCGGCACCCUGGCCUUGGCCUGACGCUCAUGUGCGAAAGCGUGGGGAGCAAA